ACGGCUCAGUAACACGUAGUCAACCUGCCCUUGGAACAGAAACAAUCUCGGGAAACUGAGGCUAAUGUCUGAUAGGUGGAGGCACCUGGAAUGGGCCUUCGCUGAAAGGGCUCUGGGAACAUGCUUCCAGAGUCGUCCAAGGAUGGGACUGCGGCCGAUCAGGUUGUUGGUGAGGUAACGGCUCACCAAGCCUAUAACCGGUACGGGCCCUGAGAGGGGGAGCCCGGAGAUGGGAACUGAGACAAGGUCCUAGGCCCUACGGGGCGCAGCAGGCGCGAAACCUUCGCAAUGCGCGCAAGCGUGACGAGGCUAUCCCGAGUGCUGUCCGAAGAGGAUGGCUUUUUAUCGGUGUAAAUAGCCGUUAGAAUAAGGGGGGGGCAAGACUGGUGUCAGCCGCCGCGGUAAUACCAGCCCCCUGAGUGGUAGGGAUGAUUAUUUGGCCUAAAGCGUUCGUAGCCGGUUCAGUUAGUCUACCGUUAAAUCUGGCGACUCAAUCGUCAGGCUGCGGUGGAUACUGCUGGACUAGGAGGCGGAAGAGGUCGACGGUACUCCAGGGGUAGGGGUGGAAUCCUAUAAUCCUUGGAGGACCACCAGUGGCGAAGGCGGUCGACCAGGACGCGCUCGACGGUGAGGAACGAAAGCUGGGGGAGCGAACCGGAUUAGAUACCCGGGUAGUCCCAGCUGUAAACGAUGCGAGCUAGGUGUUAGGAGGGCCACGGGCCCUCCUAGUGCCUCAGGGAAGCCCUUAAGCUCGCCGCCUGGGGAGUACGGUCGCAAGGCUGAAACUUAAAGGAAUUGGCGGGGGAGCACCACAAGGCGUGAAGGCUGCGGUUUAAUUGGAUUCAACGCCGG
This 852-nucleotide ribosomal RNA is filed under the name uncultured archaeon. RNAcentral's name for it is "bacterial SSU rRNA". It matches the Rfam family "Archaeal small subunit ribosomal RNA", at positions 85 to 921 of the family's 1478-position model. The record is from RNAcentral.